Nannospalax galili (Upper Galilee mountains blind mole rat) is the source of this 165-nucleotide small nuclear RNA. Its record names the gene U1. It matches the Rfam family "U1 spliceosomal RNA". Rfam says of the family: U1 is a small nuclear RNA (snRNA) component of the spliceosome (involved in pre-mRNA splicing). Its 5' end forms complementary base pairs with the 5' splice junction, thus defining the 5' donor site of an intron. NCBI's taxonomy places the organism in Eukaryota, Metazoa, Chordata, Mammalia, Rodentia, Spalacidae. The record is from Ensembl.
AAACUUACCUGACAGGGGAGACACCCAUGGCCAGGAAGGUGGUUUUCCCAGGGCAAGGCUCAUUGAUUGCACUUGGGAUAUGCUGACCCCUGCGAUUUCCCUGAAUUCGGGAAACCCAACUGCAUAAUUUGUGGUAGUGGAGGACUGUGUUCGUGCUCUCCCCUG